UGCGCAGGCGGACUUUUAAGUCAGUGGUGAAAUCCCGAGGCUCAACCUCGGAACUGCCAUUGAUACUGGAAGUCUUGAAUUUGGUUGAAGUGGGCGGAAUGUAGCAUGUAGCGGUGAAAUGCUUAGAUAUGCUACAGAACACCGAUAGCGAAGGCAGCUCACUAAGCCAAUAUUGACGCUCAGGCAAGAAAGCGUGGGGAGCAAACAGGAUUAGAUACCCUGGUAGUCC
Molecule: ribosomal RNA, 229 nt
Filed under: uncultured bacterium
Lineage: Bacteria
Description: partial 16S ribosomal RNA
Rfam family: Bacterial small subunit ribosomal RNA
Source: RNAcentral